AGAGUUUGAUCCUGGCUCAGAACGAACGCUGGCGGCAGUAACACAUGCAAGUCGAACGCUCCGCAAGGAGAGUGGCAGACGGGUGAGUAACACGUGGGAACGUACCCUUUACUACGGAACAACUCCGGGAAACUGGAGCUAAUACCGUAUGUGCCCUUCGGGGGAAAGAUUUAUCGGUAAAGGAUCGGCCCGCGUUGGAUUAGCUAGUUGGUGGGGUAAAGGCCUACCAAGGCGACGAUCCAUAGCUGGUCUGAGAGGAUGAUCAGCCACAUUGGGACUGAGACACGGCCCAAACUCCUACGGGAGGCAGCAGUGGGGAAUAUUGGACAAUGGGCGCAAGCCUGAUCCAGCCAUGCCGCGUGUGUGAUGAAGGCCUUAGGGUUGUAAAGCACUUUCACCGGAGAAGAUAAUGACGGUAUCCGGAGAAGAAGCCCCGGCUAACUUCGUGCCAGCAGCCGCGGUAAUACGAAGGGGGCUAGCGUUGUUCGGAAUUACUGGGCGUAAAGCGCACGUAGGCGGAUAUUUAAGUCAGGGGUGAAGUCCCAGAGCUCAACUCUGGAACUGCCUUUGAUACUGGGUAUCUUGAGUAUGGAAGAGGUAAGCGGAAUUGCGAGUGUAGAGGUGAAAUUCGUAGAUAUUCGCAGGAACACCAGUGGCGAAGGCGGCUUACUGGUCCAUAACUGACGCUGAGGUGCGAAAGCGUGGGGACAAACAGGAUUAGAUACCCUAGUAGUCC
RNAcentral lists this ribosomal RNA (736 nucleotides) under uncultured bacterium. RNAcentral describes it as "bacterial SSU rRNA". It matches the Rfam family "Bacterial small subunit ribosomal RNA", at positions 8 to 796 of the family's 1533-position model. The record is from RNAcentral.